Molecule: long non-coding RNA, 402 nt
Filed under: Eucalyptus grandis
Lineage: Eukaryota; Viridiplantae; Streptophyta; Magnoliopsida; Myrtales; Myrtaceae
Description: long non-coding RNA (EGRA_LNC003582)
Source: RNAcentral
UUUUGAGUAGGAAGAUACUGACUGGGCACAUUCAUCUCAUGCAAUGGAUGAAAGUCUGAUGAACUUGCACCUACAGUGCUUAUGGCAUUAGAGCUCAGGUAUGGCAUGGCAAGAAAUGAAGUCUCUCUCCAACCAUCUUCAUUGCUUGCAAUCACAGGCUGACCAUCUUCAUUGCUUACAAUCACAGGCCGACCAUUGCUUAUGGCAUUAGAGCUCAGGUAUGGCAUGGCAACAAAUGAAGUCUCUCUCCGACCAUCUUCAUUGCUUCCAAUCACAGGCCGACCAUCUUCAUUGCUUGCAACCACAGGCUGAUGCAGACCCACUUCAUCGUUAUCUGGUCUGCUGCUCGAUUCCACCACUGUUUUACCCUUCAUCGCCUUUCGGGCUUCCGAUCUCACUCGG